GUGCUCACCUUGGCAAUGGGUAUUAAAACUGGAAUGACACAGAGAAGAUUAACAUAGCCCUUGAGCAAGGAUAACAUGCAAAGUAAUGAAAUGUUUCAUUUUUUU
This is a small nuclear RNA of Myotis lucifugus (little brown bat), 105 nucleotides long. Lineage: Eukaryota; Metazoa; Chordata; Mammalia; Chiroptera; Vespertilionidae. The record is from Ensembl.